GACGAACGCUGGCGGCGUGCUUAACACAUGCAAGUCGAACGGAAAGGCCCUUCGGGGUACUCGAGUGGCGAACGGGUGCGUAACACGUGGGUGAUCUGCCCUGCACUUUGGGUUAAGCCUGGGAAACUGGGUCUAAUACCGAAUAGGACCACGCGCUUCAUGGUGUGUGGUGGAAAGCUUUUGCGGUGUGGGAUGGGCCCGCGGCCUAUCAGCUUGUUGGUGGGGUAAUGGCCUACCAAGGCGACGACGGGUAGCCGGCCUGAGAGGGUGACCGGCCACACUGGGACUGAGAUACGGCCCAGACUCCUACGGGAGGCAGCAGUGGGGAAUAUUGCACAAUGGGCGCAAGCCUGAUGCAGCGACGCCGCGUGAGGGAUGACGGCCUUCGGGUUGUAAACCUCUUUCAAUAGGGACGAAGCGCAAGUGACGGUACCUAUAGAAGAAGCACCGGCCAACUACGUG
RNAcentral lists this ribosomal RNA (462 nucleotides) under uncultured bacterium. RNAcentral describes it as "partial 16S ribosomal RNA". It matches the Rfam family "Bacterial small subunit ribosomal RNA", at positions 28 to 507 of the family's 1533-position model. The record is from RNAcentral.